ACACCGGCAGCUCAAGUGGUGGUCCAUUUUUAUUGGGCCUAAAGCGUUCGUAGCCGGCUUGAUAAGUCUCUGGUGAAAUCCCAUAGCUUAACUGUGGGAAUUGCUGGAGAUACUAUUAGGCUUGAGGCCGGGAGAGGUUAGGGGUACUCCCAGGGUAGGGGUGAAAUCCUAUAAUCCUGGGAGGACCACCUGUGGCGAAGGCGCCUAACUGGGACGGACCUGACGGUGAGUAACGAAAGCCAGGGGCGC
RNAcentral lists this ribosomal RNA (249 nucleotides) under uncultured bacterium. RNAcentral describes it as "partial 16S ribosomal RNA". It matches the Rfam family "Archaeal small subunit ribosomal RNA", at positions 473 to 720 of the family's 1478-position model. The record is from RNAcentral.